GGCGUCCGAGUUGUAAUUUGUAGAGGAUGCUAUUGGGUUGCCACCGGUCUAAGUUCCUUGGAACAGGACGUCACAGAGGGUGAGAAUCCCGUAUGUGACCGGCCAGGCGCCUUCUGUAUAGCUCCUUCGACGAGUCGGGUUGUUUGGGAAUGCAGCCCUAAAUGGGAGGUAAAUUUCUUCUAAAGCUAAAUACCGGCCAGAGACCGAUAGCGCACAAGUAGAGUGAUCGAAAGAUGAAAAGCACUUUGGAAAGAGAGUUAAAAAGCACGUGAAAUUGUUGAAAGGGAAGCGCUUGCAAUCAGUCUCGACGGCGGCUGUUCGGCCUCUCUUCUGAGUGGUUUAUUCAGUCGCCGCCGGGCCAGCAUCAGUUUUGGCGGUCGGAUAAAGGCGCGGGGAAUGUAGCUCCUCCGGGAGUGUUAUAGCCCCGCGUGCAAUACGGCCCGCCGGGACUGAGGUCCGCGCUUCGGCUAGGAUGCUGGCGAAAUGGUUGUAAGCGGCCCGUCUUGAAACACGGACCAAGGAGUCUAACAUCUACGCGAGUGUUUGGGUGUCAAACCCGUGCGCGCAAUGAAAGUGAACGGAGGUGGGAACCGCAAGGUGCACCAUCGACCGAUCCUGAUGUCUUCGGAUGGAUUUGAGUAAGAGCGUAGCUGUUGGGACCCGAAAGAUGGUGAACUAUGCCUGAAUAGGGUGAAGCCAGAGGAAACUCUGGUGGAGGCUCGCAGCGGUUCUGACG
RNAcentral lists this ribosomal RNA (736 nucleotides) under Elsinoe araliae. RNAcentral's name for it is "partial large subunit ribosomal RNA". It matches the Rfam family "Eukaryotic large subunit ribosomal RNA", at positions 133 to 891 of the family's 3401-position model. Lineage: Eukaryota; Fungi; Ascomycota; Dothideomycetes; Myriangiales; Elsinoaceae. The record is from RNAcentral. RNAcentral also lists the same sequence under 5 other names.